AACGCACAUUGCGCCUUCCAGUACUCUGGGAGGCAUGCCUGUCCGAGCGUCGUUUCAACCCUCAAGCCCUCGUGGUUUGGUGUUGGAGUCCUACAGUCUUGUAGUCUCCCAAAACCAGUGGCGGACCCGUCGCGGCCCUUCCUUUGCGUAGUAGCAUUCGCCUCGCAUCGGGAGCCCACGGGACUUUCUAGCCUCUAAACCCCCUACAAGUCCGCUCCGGCGGCACAAGGUUGACCUCGGAUCAGGUAGGAAUACCCGCUGAACUUAA
RNAcentral lists this unclassified non-coding RNA (268 nucleotides) under uncultured fungus. RNAcentral describes it as "partial contains 5.8S ribosomal RNA, internal transcribed spacer 2, and large subunit ribosomal RNA". The record is from RNAcentral. Lineage: Eukaryota; Fungi.